Long non-coding RNA from Helianthus annuus (common sunflower), 544 nucleotides. RefSeq lists it as uncharacterized. The transcript has 3 exons. Lineage: Eukaryota; Viridiplantae; Streptophyta; Magnoliopsida; Asterales; Asteraceae. The record is from RefSeq and is a predicted model, not a curated record.
UUAUUGACAAGGAAAUGAGAGGGGAUUAUUUGGGAUCGAUGGUUCAGGUUGUGCCACAUAUUACAGAUGCUAUUCAAGAUUGGAACGAACGGGUCGCAGCUAUACCUGUUGAUGGAAAAGAAGGUCCACCUGAUGAGAUAUUGAAUCUAUGUCGUUUAUCAAAGCGCUUGGACAGUUCUCUUACUGCGUUGGAGUCCGGAUCAAAACCGGUGUCGGAAGAGGCGGGUUCGUGAAGGACAUGUACGUAAAAGGGUUCACCAUGCACACCAUGAAAUGGGCGUUUUGGAUGAUGGGUAACUACGGGUCGCACCUUGAUGACAAAUGGGACCCGAAUGCGAUCCCCAUUAUCUAAAACAUAAACUACCGAGACAUGGUGGCGGAAAAUGUCACCAUGGCGGCUAGAUUGGAGGGGAGGUGAUCCUUUUACGGGGAUUUGUAUAUCGAAUGUGACUAUUGGAAUGUCACAGUUUGCAAAGAAACCGAUAUGGAACUGUACCGAUGUCGAGGGGGUGUCGAGUGAUGUGACACCGCAGCCUUGUGCCGC